GUGCUUGCUUUGGUGGCACAUAAACUAAAAUUGGAAUAAUACAGAGAAGAUUAACAUGGACCUUGUGCAAGGAUGAUAUGCAAAUUCUUGAAGUGUUCCAUAUUAAA
This 107-nucleotide small nuclear RNA is filed under the name Choloepus hoffmanni (Hoffmann's two-fingered sloth). The record is from RNAcentral. Lineage: Eukaryota; Metazoa; Chordata; Mammalia; Pilosa; Megalonychidae.